UGUUGUUUUGUGCUAUAGUAUAGGCCUGCGGCUAUCAUUAAAAACAAAAUGCGGUAAUCGUAAGACAAACUUUAAUUUGUUUACGCCAAUGGAUAUUAACAGUGUUAUGGCGACAGAUCCAAUACUUGCGUCAUUCCAAUAAACGGUACGAGCAAAAAAAUGGACGCGUGCAAAGCCGUAAAAUUCAACAAAACCUUUUAUCUAUAAAUGUAAAUAAAUCCAAUUGACAAUAUUUCCUAAACAAAAAAACCAAAGGAUUCAUCGGCUUUAUUAACACCUCACAGUGCAAAGAGACCGUUGGUUGUGUGCGUCAUUCUGCAGCUAUGGCUAGUCCUGCCAAGAUCGCGAAACAGGACCUUGAAACAUUGGAGGGCUUUCUGCACUCCGUGUCUCCAAAUAUUGUGUUAAAGCGCAAUUUGAAGUAUUUCACUGCACUCCUUCAAACUAGCAGGGACGACUUUCAUAAAGUUGUCUGCUUUUGUCCAGAGAAAAGCAUCUUUCACGCAAGCCUGCAAAAACAAGACGGAAGUGAAGCUCACUAACGUCAAGCGAAGUAUCAGCUACUCAGAUCCUACGGGCUUUGACGUUUUGUGCAACAGAAGCACCAGUUUGGAAGUCGUGAACCUCUCCUUUUUACCCAAGGUCCCUCCCAGCAGCUCAAAGCUAAAUAUUGCCUAAGUGCAAACACUUGGACCUAGGCAAACUGUCGGUGUCCUAAAAGCGAAAAUUCUGGCCCCUGGAAUCUCCAGUAAAGUCGUCAACGUGAACGGCAUUGACUUGGAAGUGAAAGAGUUCCAGAUCGGAGAUUCCACGGGACACCUGAAGCUCUCUUUAUGGGACACGCAAAUUACAGGUGGAACCUAUGAAAUCCUACAAAUUUACUAACUUGUCCACUAGAGAACGGGAGGGACGAAUACAUCUCUCGGGGACACCAUCCACUGCCAUAAUAGAAAUUGACGGACUUGAAGUCGCUGGAUGCAGCUACAUCCGUCAGGCCGAAACUCGUUUUGAAUGCUCAGGAACUGUAACUGGAAUACAGAACUUGUGCAAACAUCGGUGUUCCAAAUGCCAAAAGACGCAAAAUGACUUUAAUGGUAAAUCAUCUGUACAGAAAUGUAUUGGCUGUAAACUAAUGCAAAAAUGUUCGUCAUACAACACAACAUAUACUGGGACUAUGUCGAUUACAAAGGAUGGCACAGAUCACACAGUCAGCAUUACAAGUUCUGCAAUUCGGUGUUAUUUAAGUGAGCAGGAUAUGUGCCAUCUCUUAAAUGACGUAGAAGAUAUGGAGGAGAACUUUAUUCAUGUUGGUGAGUUUUCUGUCCUCGUUAAUGAAGACAGACUGAUCACCAAAAUCAGGCAGACUGUUCCAAACAAAGAUGACGCUGCAGAUAAUGAUGAUGUAGGUACUUCAAAUGCAGCUCAGUAGCUGUGUUUUGCAAAUUUUUUGUGUGUUCUUUCAAAAUUGUUUAGUAUUUUCUAUAUAACGUUUAUAUAUUUUUGUGAGUGUUUAAUUGUUCCUUUUAAAUAAAUAUAUAUAUUUCG
Paramormyrops kingsleyae is the source of this 1545-nucleotide long non-coding RNA. RefSeq lists it as uncharacterized. The record is from RefSeq and is a predicted model, not a curated record. Lineage: Eukaryota; Metazoa; Chordata; Actinopteri; Osteoglossiformes; Mormyridae.